Molecule: ribosomal RNA, 924 nt
Filed under: Hydrosmecta sp. HE-2010
Lineage: Eukaryota; Metazoa; Arthropoda; Insecta; Coleoptera; Staphylinidae
Description: SSU rRNA
Rfam family: Eukaryotic small subunit ribosomal RNA
Source: RNAcentral
AAUUACCCACUCCCAGCACGGGGAGGUAGUGACGAAAAAUAACGAUACGGGACUCAUCCGAGGCCCCGUAAUCGGAAUGAGUACACUUUAAAACUUUUCCCGAGGAUCAAUUGGAGGGUAAGUCUGGUGCCAGCAGCCGCGGUAAUUCCAGCUCCAAUAGCGUAUAUUAAAGUUGUUGCGGUUAAAAAGCUCGUAGUCGAAUCUGUGUCCCGCGCCGCUGGUUCAUCGCUCGCGGUGUUUAACUGGCGUGUCUCGCGGGACGUCCUGCCGGUGGGCGCUCGUAUCGCUUCGGUGGUGCGUGGCCCAACUCGUAGCCGUCUCGCGCGGUUGCGAAUCCCAUCGCGGUGCUCUUUAUUGAGUGUCGAGGUGGGCCGGCACGUUUACUUUGAACAAAUUAGAGUGCUUAAAGCAGGCCAAUUUUGCCUGAAUAUUGUGUGCAUGGAAUAAUGGAAUAGGACCUCGGUUCUAUUUUGUUGGUUUUCGGAACCCCGAGGUAAUGAUUAAUAGGAACGGAUGGGGGCAUUCGUAUUGCGACGUUAGAGGUGAAAUUCUUGGAUCGUCGCAGGACGGACAGAAGCGAAAGCAUUUGCCAAAAACGCUUUCAUUGAUCAAGAACGAAAGUUAGAGGUUCGAAGGCGAUCAGAUACCGCCCUAGUUCUAACCAUAAACGAUGCCAGCUAGCGAUCCGCCGACGUUCCUCCGAUGACUCGGCGGGCAGCUUCCGGGAAACCAAAGCUUUUGGGUUCCGGGGGAAGUAUGGUUGCAAAGCUGAAACUUAAAGGAAUUGACGGAAGGGCACCACCAGGAGUGGAGCCUGCGGCUUAAUUUGACUCAACACGGGACACCUCACCAGGCCCGGACACCGGAAGGAUUGACAGAUUGAUAGCUCUUUCUUGAUUCGGUGGGUGGUGGUGCAUGGCCGUU